This 253-nucleotide ribosomal RNA is filed under the name uncultured bacterium. RNAcentral's name for it is "partial 16S ribosomal RNA". It matches the Rfam family "Bacterial small subunit ribosomal RNA", at positions 524 to 776 of the family's 1533-position model. The record is from RNAcentral.
UACAGAGGGUGCAAGCGUUAAUCGGAAUCACUGGGCGUAAAGCGCACGUAGGCGGCUCGAAAAGUCGGAUGUGAAAGCCCUGGGCUCAACCUAGGAAGUGCAUUCGAAACUGCCGAGCUUGAGUACGGGAGAGGGUUGCGGAAUUCCCGGUGUAGAGGUGAAAUUCGUAGACAUCGGGAGGAACACCAGUGGCGAAGGCGGCAGCCUGGACCGAUACUGACGCUGAGGUGCGAAAGCGUGGGGAGCAAACAGG